This 508-nucleotide ribosomal RNA is filed under the name uncultured bacterium. RNAcentral describes it as "partial 16S ribosomal RNA". It matches the Rfam family "Bacterial small subunit ribosomal RNA", at positions 28 to 523 of the family's 1533-position model. The record is from RNAcentral.
GAUGAACGCUAGCUACAGGCUUAACACAUGCAAGUCGAGGGGAAACGAUAGAGAAAGCUUGCUUUUUCUAGGCGUCGACCGGCGCACGGGUGAGUAACGCGUAUCCAACCUGCCCAUCACUUGGGGAUAACCUUGCGAAAGUAAGACUAAUACCCAAUGACGUCUCUAGAAGACAUCUGAAAGGGAUUAAAGAUUUAUCGGUGAUGGAUGGGGAGGCGUCUGAUUAGCUUGUUGGCGGGGUAACGGCCCACCAAGGCGACGAUCAGUAGGGGUUCUGAGAGGAAGAUCCCCCACAUUGAAAGUGAGACACGGUCCAAACUCCUACGGGAGGCAGCAGUGAGGAAUAUUGGUCAAUGGACGAGAGUCUGAACCAGCCAAGUAGCGUGCAGGAUGACGGCCCUAUGGGUUGUAAACUGCUUUUAUAAGGGCAUAAAGUGGGAGUCGUGACUCUUUUUGCAUGUACCUUAUGAAUAAGGACCGGCUAAUUCCGUGCCAGCCGCCGCGGUAA